CCCACGACUUUCCCUUCUCUCUACACAACAAUUACAACCUACAAAGCCUAGAGAGAGAGUUCUAUAACGACAAUGGCGGUGGUUAACCAACCGGUGUUCUGAUGUUCGCUUCUGUUGCUGCUUAUAGUCGUCGUCGCCACCACCGGUGCCGGUCAGGAAGAGAUGGAAUCUAAUCUCAGGUGUGAUGAUUUUUUCCCUCAUUGAAUGAUAUGUUCUUUUGCCUGUUGAUUUCUUAAUUUUAGUUUUUUUUCCCUCAUUGAAUGAUAUGUUCUUUUGCCUGUUGAUUUCCCUCAUUGAAUGAUAUGUUCGUCGACACCACCGGUGCCGGUCAGGAAGAGCAAAGGAGUCUGAAGCCUUGAAUGAGAGUGCGUUCAAGACCCUGAAGAGUGUCCAUGGUAGAAAUGAGCAUGAGAAACAGCACUGAAAGAAGGAAACUAGGACUGGUGGAGGUGUGACCCGAACUGGCAAAAGAACCGCAAGCGCCUUGUAGACUGUGGUAACGGUUUUGGGCGGAAUGCCAUUGGAGGCCGUGAGAGCCGGUUUUACAUGGUCACGGAUUCUGGAGACGA
Molecule: long non-coding RNA, 569 nt
Organism: Helianthus annuus (common sunflower)
Lineage: Eukaryota; Viridiplantae; Streptophyta; Magnoliopsida; Asterales; Asteraceae
Exons: 2
Source: RefSeq, a predicted model, not a curated record